RNAcentral lists this ribosomal RNA (468 nucleotides) under uncultured bacterium. RNAcentral describes it as "partial 16S ribosomal RNA". It matches the Rfam family "Bacterial small subunit ribosomal RNA", at positions 28 to 507 of the family's 1533-position model. The record is from RNAcentral.
GACGAACGCUGGCGGCGUGCUUAACACAUGCAAGUCGAACGGAAAGGCCCUGCUUUUGUGGGGUGCUCGAGUGGCGAACGGGUGAGUAACACGUGAGUAACCUGCCCUUGACUUUGGGAUAACUUCAGGAAACUGGGGCUAAUACCGGAUAGGAGCUCCUGCUGCAUGGUGGGGGUUGGAAAGUUUCGGCGGUUGGGGAUGGACUCGCGGCCUAUCAGCUUGUUGGUGGGGUAGUGGCUUACCAAGGCUUUGACGGGUAGCCGGCCUGAGAGGGUGACCGGCCACAUUGGGACUGAGAUACGGCCCAGACUCCUACGGGAGGCAGCAGUGGAGAAUAUUGCACAAUGGGCGGAAGCCUGAUGCAGCAACGCCGCGUGCGGGAUGACGGCCUUCGGGUUGUAAACCGCUUUCGCCUGUGACGAAGCGUGAGUGACGGUAAUGGGUAAAGAAGCACCGGCUAACUACGUG